This 245-nucleotide ribosomal RNA is filed under the name uncultured bacterium. Its description in RNAcentral is "partial 16S ribosomal RNA". It matches the Rfam family "Bacterial small subunit ribosomal RNA", at positions 109 to 354 of the family's 1533-position model. The record is from RNAcentral.
AGUAACGCGUGGGCAACCUGCCUUAUACAGGGGGAUAACAGCUGGAAACAGCUGCUAAUACCGCAUAAGCGCACAGUGCUGCAUGGUACAGUGUGAAAAACUGAGGUGGUAUAAGAUGGGCCCGCGUCUGAUUAGCUGGUUGGGAGGGUAACGGCCUACCAAGGCGACGAUCAGUAGCCGGCCUGAGAGGGCGGACGGCCACAUUGGGACUGAGACACGGCCCAGACUCCUACGGGAGGCAGCAG